Molecule: unclassified non-coding RNA, 148 nt
Organism: Pongo abelii (Sumatran orangutan)
Lineage: Eukaryota; Metazoa; Chordata; Mammalia; Primates; Hominidae
Rfam family: Metazoan signal recognition particle RNA
About the family: The signal recognition particle (SRP) is a universally conserved ribonucleoprotein. It is involved in the co-translational targeting of proteins to membranes.
Source: Ensembl
GCCGGGCGUGGUGGCGCGCGCCUGUAAUCCCAGCUACUCAGGAGGCUGAGGCAGGAGAAUCGCUUGAACCCGGGAGGCGGAGGUUGCAGUGAGCCGAGAUGGCACCACUGCACUCCAGCCUGGGUGACAGAGCAAGACUCCAUCUCAA